RNAcentral lists this ribosomal RNA (609 nucleotides) under uncultured archaeon. RNAcentral describes it as "bacterial SSU rRNA". It matches the Rfam family "Archaeal small subunit ribosomal RNA", at positions 320 to 929 of the family's 1478-position model. The record is from RNAcentral.
GCCCUACGGGGUGCAGCAGGCGCGAAAACUUUACAAUGCUGGCAGCAGCGAUAAGGGAACCUCGAGUGCCAGGUUACAAAUCUGGCUGUCGAGAUGCCUAAAAAGCAUUUCAUAGCAAGGGCCGGGCAAGACCGGUGCCAGCCGCCGCGGUAACACCGGCGGCUCGAGUGGUAACCGUUAUUAUUGGGUCUAAAGGGUCUGUAGCCGGCCGGAUAAGUCUCUUGAGAAAUCUGGCAGCUUAACUGUCAGGCUUUCAGGAGAUACUGUCUGGCUCGAGGCCGGGAGAGGUGAGAGGUACUUCAGGGGUAGGGGUGAAAUCUUGUAAUCCUUGAAGGACCACCAGUGGCGAAGGCGUCUCACCAGAACGGACCUGACGGCAAGGGACGAAAGCUAGGGGCACGAACCGGAUUAGAUACCCGGGUAGUCCUAGCCGUAAACGAUACUCGCUAGGUGUCGGCCACGGUGCGACCGUUGUCGGUGCCGUAGGGAAGCCGUGAAGCGAGCCACCUGGGAAGUACGGCCGCAAGGCUGAAACUUAAAGGAAUUGGCGGGGGAGCACAACAACGGGUGGAGCUUGCGGUUUAAUUGGAUUCAACGCCGGAAAUCUUA